This 301-nucleotide ribosomal RNA is filed under the name uncultured bacterium. RNAcentral's name for it is "partial 16S ribosomal RNA". It matches the Rfam family "Bacterial small subunit ribosomal RNA", at positions 509 to 807 of the family's 1533-position model. The record is from RNAcentral.
CAGCAGCCGCGGGAAUACGGAGGGUGCAAGCGUUAAUCGGAAUUACUGGGCGUAAAGCGCACGCAGGCGGUCUGACAAGUCAGAUGUGAAAUCCCCGGGCUUAACCUGGGAACUGCAUUUGAAACUGUCAGGCUGGAGUCUUGUAGAGGGGGGUGGAAUUCCAGGUGUAGCGGUGAAAUGCGUAGAGAUCUGGAGGAAUACCGGUGGCGAAGGCGGCCCCCUGGACAAAGACUGACGCUCAGGUGCGAAAGCGUGGGGAGCAAACAGGAUUAGAUGCCCGUGUAGUCCCUGUCUCUUAUAC